CCUACGGGAGGCAGCAGUGGGGAAUCUUGCACAAUGGGGGAAACCCUGAUGCAGCAACGCCGCGUGAGUGAAGAAGUAUUUCGGUAUGUAAAGCUCUAUCAGCAGGGAAGAAAAUGACAGUACCUGACUAAUAAGCCCCGGCUAACUACGUGCCAGCAGCCGCGGGAAUACGUAGGGGGCAAGCGUUAUCCGGAUUUACUGGGUGUAAAGGGAGCGUAGACGGCUGCGCAAGGCAGUAGUGAAAGCCCGGGGCUCAACCGCGGGACUGCUUUUGAAACUGUGUAGCUAGAGUGCAGGAGAGGUAAGUGGAAUUCCUAGUGUAGCGGUGAAAUGCGUAGAUAUUAGGAGGAACACCGGUGGCGAAGGCGGCUUACUGGACUGUAACUGACGUUGAGGCUCGAAAGCGUGGGGAGCAAACAGGAUUAGAUACCCGAGUAGUC
This 440-nucleotide ribosomal RNA is filed under the name uncultured bacterium. RNAcentral's name for it is "partial 16S ribosomal RNA". It matches the Rfam family "Bacterial small subunit ribosomal RNA", at positions 338 to 795 of the family's 1533-position model. The record is from RNAcentral.